Molecule: transfer RNA, 72 nt
Filed under: Camelus bactrianus (Bactrian camel)
Lineage: Eukaryota; Metazoa; Chordata; Mammalia; Artiodactyla; Camelidae
Also listed under: 2 other names
Rfam family: tRNA
About the family: Transfer RNA (tRNA) molecules are approximately 80 nucleotides in length.
Source: Rfam by way of RNAcentral
GGUGGUAUAGCUCAGUGGUAGAGUACAUACUUGGCAUGAAUGAGGUUAUGGAUUCAAUCUCCAGUAACUCCA